RNAcentral lists this ribosomal RNA (301 nucleotides) under uncultured bacterium. RNAcentral's name for it is "partial 16S ribosomal RNA". It matches the Rfam family "Bacterial small subunit ribosomal RNA", at positions 509 to 807 of the family's 1533-position model. The record is from RNAcentral.
CAGUCGCCGCGGUAAUACGUAGGGUGCGAGCGUUAAUCGGAAUUACUGGGCGUAAAGCGUGCGCAGGCGGUUAUAUAAGACAGAUGUGAAAUCCCCGGGCUCAACCUGGGACCUGCAUUUGUGACUGUAUAGCUAGAGUACGGUAGAGGGGGAUGGAAUUCCGCGUGUAGCGGUGAAAUGCGUAGAUAUGCGGAGGAACACCGAUGGCGGAGGCAAUCCCCUGGACCUGUACUGACGCUCAUGCACGAAAGCGUGGGGAGCAAACAGGAUUAGAUACCCCUGUAGUCCCUGUCUCUUAUAC